RNAcentral lists this ribosomal RNA (1296 nucleotides) under Penicillidia dufourii. RNAcentral's name for it is "16S ribosomal RNA". Lineage: Eukaryota; Metazoa; Arthropoda; Insecta; Diptera; Nycteribiidae. The record is from RNAcentral.
UAUAUAUAUAUUAAAAAUAGUUAUAAAAAAAAUUUUUUUAGUAUUAAUUUAAGAAAAAAUAAAAUUUAUUAUAGUAUAUUAGUAUUGAAAAAGAAAAUUGAAAUAUUAUGAAAAAUUUAAAUAUAAAAAGAAAAAUUUAAUUUUUGUACCUUGUGUAUCAGGGUUUAUUAAAAAAAAAUUAUUAAAAUUAAUUUUCUCGAUUUUAAAAGAUUUAAUAUAUUAUAAAAGUUAAAGUAAUAAAUUUAUUUUAAAUAAUAUAUUUGAAAUGAAAUGUUUUUCGUUUUUAAAGGUAUCUAGUUUAUUAAGAAAUAAAUUUAAUUUAUUAAUUUUAUAUUAUUUAAUUAUUUAUAUUAAUUGAAUAAAUAUUUAAUUAAAAUAUUUUAUGGGAUAAGCUAUAAAAUAAAUUAUUAAAAAUUAUUUAUUAAUUAUAAAAUAUAGGGUUAAAAUUAUUCAUUAUUAAUAAAAAUGUAAUAAUUUAUUAAAUAAUAUUAAAAAUUUUUAAAAUUUUAAUUAUUUAUUAAUAUAUAAUUUAUAAUAAUAAAAAAUAAGAAAUAAUGAUAUAAUUAGUAUAAAUUAAUUUAAAAAUAUAAAAUUAUUUUAAAUUUAGUUAAAGAAUUCGGCAAAAAUAUAUAUUCACCUGUUUAACAAAAACAUCUCUUUAUGAAUAAAAUAUAAAGUUUAACCUGCCCACUGAAUAUUAAAUGGCUGCAGUAUAUUGACUGUACAAAGGUAGCAUAAUAAUUAGUUUUUUAAUUGAAAACUGGAAUGAAUGGUUGGAUGAAAUAUAAACUGUUUUAAUUAAGAUUAAUUUGAAUUUUAUUUUUUAGUAAAAAAGCUAAAAUUUAUUUAAAAGACGAGAAGACCCUAUAAAUCUUUAUAUAAAAAUUUUAAUUUUAAUUAUUUAGAUGAUUUAAUUAAUUAAUAUUUUUAUAUUUUAUUGGGGAGAUAGUAAAAUUUAAUAAACUUUUAUUUGUAAUUUCAUUAAUUUAUGAAUUGUUGAUUAAUUUUUAAUGCAUAAUAAAAUAAGUUACUUUAGGGAUAACAGCGUAAUUAUUUUGGAGAGUUCAUAUUGAUAAAAUAGAUUGCGACCUCGAUGUUGGAUUAAGAAUAAAUUUAGGUGUAGAAGCUUAUAAGUUUAAGUCUGUUCGACUUUUAAUUUCUUACAUGAUCUGAGUUCAAACCGGCGUAAGCCAGGUUGGUUUCUAUCUUUAAAUAUUUAUAAUAUUAUAGUACGAAAGGAUUUAAUAUUAAAUAAAUAAUUAUUAAAUAUAAUGAAUAUUAUUAAUAUAAUAAUAU